RNAcentral lists this ribosomal RNA (424 nucleotides) under uncultured bacterium. RNAcentral describes it as "partial 16S ribosomal RNA". It matches the Rfam family "Bacterial small subunit ribosomal RNA", at positions 354 to 796 of the family's 1533-position model. The record is from RNAcentral.
GUGGGGAAUCUUGCGCAAUGGGCGAAAGCCUGACGCAGCCAUGCCGCGUGAAUGAUGAAGGUCUUAGGAUUGUAAAAUUCUUUCACCGGGGACGAUAAUGACGGUACCCGGAGAAGAAGCCCCGGCUAACUUCGUGCCAGCAGCCGCGGUAAUACGAAGGGGGCUAGCGUUGCUCGGAAUUACUGGGCGUAAAGGGCGCGUAGGCGGAUCGUUAAGUCCGGGGUGAAAUCCCAGAGCUCAACCUUGGAAUUGCCUUUGAUACUGGCUGUCUUGAGUCCGAAGAGGUGAGUGGAACUCCUAGUGUAGAGGUGGAAUUCGUAGAUAUUAGGAAGAACACCAGUGGCGAAGGCGGCUCACUGGUCCGGUACUGACGCUGAGGUGCGAAAGCGUGGGGAGCAAACAGGAUUAGAUACCCGGGUAGUCC